RNAcentral lists this ribosomal RNA (207 nucleotides) under uncultured bacterium. Its description in RNAcentral is "partial 16S ribosomal RNA". It matches the Rfam family "Bacterial small subunit ribosomal RNA", at positions 568 to 774 of the family's 1533-position model. The record is from RNAcentral.
CGCGUAGGCGGUUUUUUAAGUCUGAUGUGAAAGCCCACGGCUCAACCGUGGAGGGUCAUUGGAAACUGGAAAACUCGAGUGCAGAAGAGGAAAGUGGAAUUCCAUGUGUAGCGGUGAAAUGCGCAGAGAUAUGGAGGAACACCAGUGGCGAAGGCGACUUUCUGGUCUGUAACUGACGCUGAUGUGCGAAAGCGUGGGGAUCAAACA